Molecule: ribosomal RNA, 497 nt
Filed under: uncultured bacterium
Lineage: Bacteria
Description: partial 16S ribosomal RNA
Rfam family: Bacterial small subunit ribosomal RNA
Source: RNAcentral
GAUGAACGCUGGCGGCGUGCCUAAUACAUGCGAGUCGAGCGAACAGACGAGGAGCUUGCUCCUCUGACGUUAGCGGCGGACGGGUGAGUAACACGUGGAUAACCUACCUAUAAGACUGGGAUAACUUCGGGAAACCGGAGCUAAUACCGGAUAAUAUAUUGAACCGCAUGGUUCAAUAGUGAAAGACGGUUUUGCUGUCACUUAUAGAUGGAUCCGCGCCGCAUUAGCUAGUUGGUAAGGUAACGGCUUACCAAGGCAACGAUGCGUAGCCGACCUGAGAGGGUGAUCGGCCACACUGGAACUGAGACACGGUCCAGACUCCUACGGGAGGCAGCAGUAGGGAAUCUUCCGCAAUGGGCGAAAGCUUGACGGAGCAACGCCGCGUGAGUGAUGAAGGUCUUCGGAUCGUAAAACUCUGUUAUUAGGGAAGAACAAAUGUGUAAGUAACUAUGCACGUCUUGACGGCACCUAAUCAGAAAGCCACGGCUAACUACGUG